This 606-nucleotide ribosomal RNA is filed under the name Pseudomonas sp. RNAcentral describes it as "bacterial SSU rRNA". It matches the Rfam family "Bacterial small subunit ribosomal RNA", at positions 60 to 661 of the family's 1533-position model. Lineage: Bacteria; Pseudomonadati; Pseudomonadota; Gammaproteobacteria; Pseudomonadales; Pseudomonadaceae. The record is from RNAcentral.
AGUCGAGCGGAUGAAGAGAGCUUGCUCUCUGAUUCAGCGGCGGACGGGUGAGUAAUGCCUAGGAAUCUGCCUGGUAGUGGGGGACAACGUCUCGAAAGGGACGCUAAUACCGCAUACGUCCUACGGGAGAAAGCAGGGGACCUUCGGGCCUUGCGCUAUCAGAUGAGCCUAGGUCGGAUUAGCUAGUUGGUGAGGUAAUGGCUCACCAAGGCGACGAUCCGUAACUGGUCUGAGAGGAUGAUCAGUCACACUGGAACUGAGACACGGUCCAGACUCCUACGGGAGGCAGCAGUGGGGAAUAUUGGACAAUGGGCGAAAGCCUGAUCCAGCCAUGCCGCGUGUGUGAAGAAGGUCUUCGGAUUGUAAAGCACUUUAAGUUGGGAGGAAGGGCAGUAAAUUAAUACUUUGCUGUUUUGACGUUACCGACAGAAUAAGCACCGGCUAACUCUGUGCCAGCAGCCGCGGUAAUACAGAGGGUGCAAGCGUUAAUCGGAAUUACUGGGCGUAAAGCGCGCGUAGGUGGUUUGUUAAGUUGGAUGUGAAAGCCCCGGGCUCAACCUGGGAACUGCAUUCAAAACUGACAAGCUAGAGUAUGGUAGAGGGUGG